RNAcentral lists this ribosomal RNA (317 nucleotides) under Staphylococcus aureus. Its description in RNAcentral is "bacterial SSU rRNA". It matches the Rfam family "Bacterial small subunit ribosomal RNA", at positions 1 to 307 of the family's 1533-position model. The record is from RNAcentral. Lineage: Bacteria; Bacillati; Bacillota; Bacilli; Caryophanales; Staphylococcaceae.
UUUAUGGAGAGUUUGAUCCUGGCUCAGGAUGAACGCUGGCGGCGUGCCUAAUACAUGCAAGUCGAGCGAACGGACGAGAAGCUUGCUUCUCUGAUGUUAGCGGCGGACGGGUGAGUAACACGUGGAUAACCUACCUAUAAGACUGGGAUAACUUCGGGAAACCGGAGCUAAUACCGGAUAAUAUUUUGAACCGCAUGGUUCAAAAGUGAAAGACGGUCUUGCUGUCACUUAUAGAUGGAUCCGCGCUGCAUUAGCUAGUUGGUAAGGUAACGGCUUACCAAGGCAACGAUGCAUAGUCGACCUGAGAGGGUGAUCGG